This 468-nucleotide ribosomal RNA is filed under the name uncultured bacterium. RNAcentral describes it as "partial 16S ribosomal RNA". It matches the Rfam family "Bacterial small subunit ribosomal RNA", at positions 28 to 507 of the family's 1533-position model. The record is from RNAcentral.
GACGAACGCUGGCGGCGUGCUUAACACAUGCAAGUCGAACGGAAAGGCCCUGCUUUUGUGGGGUGCUCGAGUGGCGAACGGGUGAGUAACACGUGAGUAACCUGCCCUUGACUUUGGGAUAACUUCAGGAAACUGGGGCUAAUACCGGAUAGGAGCUCCUGCUGCAUGGUGGGGGAUGGAAAGUUUCGGCGGUUGGGGAUGGACUGGCGGCUUAUCAGCUUGUUGGUGUGGUAGUGGCUUACCAAGGCUUCGACGGGUAGCCGGCAUGAGAGGGUGACCGGCCACAUUGGGACUGAGAUACGGACCAGACUCCUACGGGAGGCAGCAGUGGGGAAUAUUGCACAAUGGGCGGAAGCCUGAUGCAGCAACGCCGCGUGCGGGAUGGCGGCCUUCGGGUUGUAAACCGCUUUCGCAUGUGACGAAGCGUGAGUGACGGUAAUGGGUAAAGAAGCACCGGCUAACUACGUG